Molecule: ribosomal RNA, 253 nt
Filed under: uncultured bacterium
Lineage: Bacteria
Description: partial 16S ribosomal RNA
Rfam family: Bacterial small subunit ribosomal RNA
Source: RNAcentral
UACGGAGGGUGCAAGCGUUAUCCGGAUUCACUGGGUUUAAAGGGUGCGUAGGUGGAUCAAUAAGUCAGUGGUGAAAGCCCCGAGCUCAACUUGGGAAUUGCCAUUGAUACUGGAGAGCUUGAGUCCGGAAGAGGUGAGUGGAACUCCGAGUGUAGAGGUGAAAUUCGUAGAUAUUCGGAAGAACACCAGUGGCGAAGGCGGCUCACUGGUCCGGUACUGACGCUGAGGUGCGAAAGCGUGGGGAGCAAACAGG